AGCCAUUUGCCAGCUGCCACAGUCAACUAUUCCCCACACAUGGAGGAGAGGCUCAAAACAGGACUUUGUUUCACAGAAGGCUGUCAUGCUGGCUCCCUGGCUAUCCAGUGCACACAUGCAUCUUGGAUGGAGAUAAAGUAUCACCAUCUACUGGCGGCUGGAAGGAUAACGGCAGAAAAUUUUAGAAGAGCAAUGUCCCCAACACAAGGAUACUUGCCAGACCUGUGAAAGCUUUCAAGCCGUAAGAACAUUUAUGGAGUUUGGAGAUGUGGAGCCACCUCGGUGCAGGAAGAACUUGGAGACGGAGUCACUAUCCUUCUUACAGAGAGGGAAAAAAAAUGGUGUUACCCUGUUUAGCAAGAAAAUGCAUUACUGAACUGCUUCAAGACUCACUGCCUCUGCAGUUACUUGUUAUCUUCACUGGAGCUGGGAAACCUGGUUAGCUCAGCCACCAAAUAUGUUUCCUAUAAAAUGUCCCCAGUGUUUACUAUGAAGAGACUGCAUCUGAAAAGACAGCUAAGAAUUGUGUAUCGGCACAUUGACCCUCUCUCUUCAUAAGAGGAGCGGGGGUGUGCCUGCAAGGAGAGACAAGUUCGUUGCUUGGUAGGACUUAUCCUGAGAGGUCCUUGCUGUAGUGUUUGCCGUCUGUGCUGCUUGGUUUUGGCAUUAUCUUCACCUGCUCCUGCUUCCCUUGCACUACUGUGUGGAAAAACCCAUCUGGAGUAUUGCUUGAUGAGAGCGGCUGCUCCAUACCUCUUAAGAAAUGAUGGAUGUGGCAACA
Molecule: long non-coding RNA, 781 nt
Organism: Calidris pugnax (ruff)
Lineage: Eukaryota; Metazoa; Chordata; Aves; Charadriiformes; Scolopacidae
Exons: 5
Source: RefSeq, a predicted model, not a curated record